GCAGGUAUAACAAUAAUAGAAAAAAACAUUUCUAUUUCUAGCCUACGUGAACGACGGCGGAGCCGGUUGCAAUUGAUUUUGCGCCAUUUGUCUCGAUAGCCAAGCUGUCCCAGCUUCCGACUGUUUCUUCUCCAUAAAUAGAAAUUUUCUCGCUGUCCUCUUCUUUCUAUAAUUGUUUUUGUAGCGAACCUUUCAUCACUUGAUUGAUAAAUAAAUUAAUCGCGAAUUUGUAGAGCGAUCAGUGAAGAUUCUUCUUAACUUUGUUUUUGGUUCCCGUUUUGUUAGUGAUUAGCUGAGAGAGAGCCGAGAUGAGUUUGAGCUCUUUGAAUGGAUUGUUAUCGCCGACAUCGUCGACAAUGCCGGAGCAUGACGUUGAGGCGGGG
RNAcentral lists this long non-coding RNA (383 nucleotides) under Linum usitatissimum (flax). RNAcentral's name for it is "long non-coding RNA (LUSI_LNC001779)". Lineage: Eukaryota; Viridiplantae; Streptophyta; Magnoliopsida; Malpighiales; Linaceae. The record is from RNAcentral.